This 487-nucleotide ribosomal RNA is filed under the name uncultured bacterium. Its description in RNAcentral is "bacterial SSU rRNA". It matches the Rfam family "Bacterial small subunit ribosomal RNA", at positions 29 to 491 of the family's 1533-position model. The record is from RNAcentral.
AAUGAACGCUGGCGGCGUGCUUAACACAUGCAAGUCGAGCGAGGCGGAGGGGGCAACUCCUCUAGCCGAGCGGCGGACGGGUGAGUAAACACGUGGGUAACCUGCCCGGAAGUGGGGAAUACCUCGGGGAAACUCGAGCUAAUGCCGCAUAACAUCCCCGGGACGAAAGUCCUGGUGAUCAAAGCGGGGUCGCAAGAUCUCGCGCUACCGGAUGGGCCCGCGCCCGAUUAGCUAGUUGGUGAGGUAAUGGCUCACCAAGGCAACGAUCGGUAGCCGGCCUGAGAGGGUGAUCGGCCACACCGGAACUGAGACACGGUCCGGACUCCUACGGGAGGCAGCAGUGGGGAAUCUUGCGCAAUGGGCGAAAGCCUGACGCAGCAGCGCCGCGUGGAGGAUGAAAGGCCCUUGGGUUGUAAACUCCUGUCGGCUGGGAAGAAAUCGUACGGUGCUCAUACCGCCGUGCGUUGACUGUACCAGCAAAAGGAAG